CGGAGGUGCUAUGCUGCAGUCGAGCGACGCAUGCCCAGUUCGUAAGAACAGGGUAUGACGGAGCGGCGAACGGGUGAGUAACACGUGAGCAACCUGCCCCACAGACCGGGAUAGCCCAAGGAAACUUGGAUUAAUACCGGAUUCCCUCGAACAAUCGCAUGGUUGAUCGAGGAAAGGCCUUUGUGCUGUGGGAUGGGCUCGCGGCUUAUCAGCUAGUUGGUGGGGUAAAGGCCUACCAAGGCAUCGACGAGUAGCUGGUCUGAGAGGACGAUCAGCCACACUGGAACUGAGACACGGUCCAGACUCCUACGGGAGGCAGCAGCAGGGAAUCUUGCGCAAUGGGCGAAAGCCUGACGCAGCAACGCCGCGUGGGGGAUGAAGGCCUUCGGGUUGUAAACCCCUUUCAGGAGGGAAGAAAUUGACGGUACCUCCAGAAGAAGGACCGGCCAACUACGUGCCAGCAGCCGCGGUAAUACGUAGGGUCCUAGCGUUAUCCGGAAUCAUUGAGCGUAAAGAGCUCGUAGGCGGUUCAGCAAGUCGGCUGUGAAAGUCCGAGGCUUAACCUCGGAAUUGCAGUCGAUACUGCUGUGACUCGAGUCCGGUAGAGGAGAAUGGGAUUCUCGGUGUAGCGGUGAAAUGCGCAGAUAUCGAGAGGAACACCAGUAGCGAAGGCGGUUCUCUGGGCCGGCACUGACGCUGAGGAGCGAAAGCGUGGGGAGCAAACAGGAUUAGAUACCCUGGUAGUCCACGCCGUAAACGUUGGAUACUAGGGUGUGGCGGUUGUACCAACGACUGCCGUGCCGAAGCUAACG
RNAcentral lists this ribosomal RNA (812 nucleotides) under uncultured bacterium. RNAcentral describes it as "bacterial SSU rRNA". It matches the Rfam family "Bacterial small subunit ribosomal RNA", at positions 40 to 857 of the family's 1533-position model. The record is from RNAcentral.